UCAUGAAUCAAACUAGUCCGUCUCCCCUUGCUAAAUCAAACAUCCAGAGUAUGAAUUGAGUUAUUGGUUGAUCCAAAUUCUAAAUUUCUAAUUCAAGAUCAUCAAACAUAGAAGUAUAUCGAAAGUGUUGGAAGAAAAGUUAGAAAUGAAUCUAGGUUGUUUGGGUUGUUGCUGAAGACUCAAAAGAGCAGAAAGAAAAAGAAGAAGAAAAUGACUUAUUUCACGGAUCUAGAUAAUCGAUAUGAGCGGUCUCGUAAAUGUGAACAUGCUGAUCCAUCAUGAAAUCAGUGGAUGAAAAUGAUCUAUUCUUCCUUUAAGCUAUGCAAUCUGCUACUGUGAAGCAACUGAUGAGAUCUGCAAUGUACUUUCCGAUCUCAGUAUCAAGAGUAGAAGCCAAGCACAGCAUUGGCAGGAGAAACUUCCCGCGAUGCAAAGCUGAAAUAGGUACAGUAUCAAGAGUAGAAGCCACCAGAAAGCCAAGCACAACAUUGGCAGGAGAAACUUCCCGCGAUGCAAAGCUGAAAUACUUGCAGCUCUGAUUAUGGGAUGUUCAGGAAGAAUCCAGUGCAACGGCUUAGUAUCUUAGAAUUGGAUGUUUUACAUUGGGUCUCGGCCGUGCCGUUGUUUAACAGUAUUCAAAGGAUACAUGGGAUUAGAGUGCAUGUAGAGUGGAGUCUAGAGUCUGUAUACAUCUUUUGUGUCUGGUGUGCCUGCAACUAGGGUCAUGGGAAGAAAAAACAACAACAAUACUUUACUAUAUAGGAUCUUGGAUGAACACCAGG
Molecule: long non-coding RNA, 782 nt
Organism: Papaver somniferum (opium poppy)
Lineage: Eukaryota; Viridiplantae; Streptophyta; Magnoliopsida; Ranunculales; Papaveraceae
Exons: 6
Source: RefSeq, a predicted model, not a curated record